This 433-nucleotide ribosomal RNA is filed under the name uncultured bacterium. Its description in RNAcentral is "partial 16S ribosomal RNA". It matches the Rfam family "Bacterial small subunit ribosomal RNA", at positions 30 to 507 of the family's 1533-position model. The record is from RNAcentral.
AGCGAACGCUGGCGGCAGGCUUAACACAUGCAAGUCGAGCGGACCUUCCGGGGUCAGCGGCGGUCGGGGGAGGAACGCGGGGGAACGUGCCUUCCGGUUCGGAAUAAUCCUGGGUAACUAGGGCUAAUGCAGGAUACGCUACUAUGGGGCAGGGUUUACUGCCGGAAGAUCGGCACGGGUCUGAUUAGCCAGUUGGUGGGGUAUGGGCCUAUCAAGGCGACGAUCAGUAGCUGGUCUGAGAGGAUGAGCAGCCACGCUGGAACUGAGGCACGGCCCAGACUCCUACGGAAGGGAGCGGUGGGGUGUAUUAGACAAGGGGCGCAAGCGUAGUACAGCCACGCGGCGUAAGUGAUGAUGGCCUUAGGAUUGUAAAGCCCUUUUAUCCGGGACGUUAAUGACGGUAACGGAGAAAUAAGCCCCGGCUAACUUCGUG